RNAcentral lists this transfer RNA (70 nucleotides) under Tylochromis polylepis. RNAcentral's name for it is "tRNA-Tyr". It matches the Rfam family "tRNA". From Rfam's summary of the family: Transfer RNA (tRNA) molecules are approximately 80 nucleotides in length. Their secondary structure includes four short double-helical elements and three loops (D, anti-codon, and T loops). Lineage: Eukaryota; Metazoa; Chordata; Actinopteri; Cichliformes; Cichlidae. The record is from RNAcentral.
GGUAAGAUGGCUGAAAGUUAAGCGGUGGACUGUAACCCCAUGUAUAGAGGUUCAAAUCCUCUUCUUAUCA